AGGUAAGCUACUAAGAGCGAAUGGUGGAUGCCUUGACUGGUAAAGGCGAUGAAGGACGUACUAGACUGCGAUAAGCUACGGGGAGCUGUCAAGAAGCUUUGAUCCGUAGAUUUCCGAAUGGGGCAACCCAAUGUAUAGAGAUAUACAUUACCUAUAUAGGAGCGAACGAGGGGAAUUGAAACAUCUUAGUACCCUCAGGAAAAGAAAUCAAUAGAGAUUGCGUCAGUAGCGGCGAGCGAAAGCGCAAGAGGGCAAACCCAGUGCUUGCACUGGGGGUUGUAGGACUGCAAUGUGCAAGAGCUGAGUUUAGCAGAACAUUCUGGAAAGUAUAGCCAUAGAGGGUGAUAGUCCCGUAUGCGAAAAACAAAGCUUAGCUAGCAGUAUCCUGAGUAGGGCGGGACACGAGGAAUCCUGUCUGAAUCCGGGUCGACCACGAUCCAACCCUAAAUACUAAUACCAGAUCGAUAGUGCACAAGUACCGUGAGGGAAAGGUGAAAAGAACUGAGGUGAUCAGAGUGAAAUAGAACCUGAAACCAUUUGCUUACAAUCAUUCAGAGCACUAUGUAGCAAUACAGUGUGAUGGACUGCCUUUUGCAUAAUGAGCCUGCGAGUUGUGGUGUCUGGCAAGGUUAAGCAAACGCGAAGCCGUAGCGAAAGCGAGUCUGAAUAGGGCGCUUAGUCAGAUGCUGCAGACCCGAAACGAAGUGAUCUAUCCAUGAGCAAGUUGAAGCUAGUGUAAGAACUAGUGGAGGACUGAACCCAUAGGCGUUGAAAAGCCCCGGGAUGACUUGUGGAUAGGGGUGAAAGGCCAAUCAAACUUCGUGAUAGCUGGUUCUCUCCGAAAUAUAUUUAGGUAUAGCGUUGUGUCGUAAUAUAAGGGGGUAGAGCACUGAAUGGGCUAGGGCAUACACCAAUGUACCAAACCCUAUCAAACUCCGAAUACCUUAUAUGUAAUCACAGCAGUCAGGCGGCGAGUGAUAAAAUCCGUCGUCAAGAGGGAAACAACCCAGACUACCAGCUAAGGUCCCUAAAUCUUACUUAAGUGGAAAACGAUGUGAAGUUACUUAAACAACCAGGAGGUUGGCUUAGAAGCAGCCAUCCUUUAAAGAAAGCGUAAUAGCUCACUGGUCUAGUGAUUUUGUGCGGAAAAUAUAACGGGGCUAAAGUAAGUACCGAAGCUGUAGACUUAGUUUACUAAGUGGUAGGAGAGCGUUCUAUUUGCGUCGAAGGUAUACCGGUAAGGAGUGCUGGAGCGAAUAGAAGUGAGCAUGCAGGCAUGAGUAGCGAUAAUUAAUGUGAGAAUCAUUAACGCCGUAAACCCAAGGUUUCCUACGCGAUGCUCGUCAUCGUAGGGUUAGUCGGGUCCUAAGUCGAGUCCGAAAGGGGUAGACGAUGGCAAAUUGGUUAAUAUUCCAAUACCAACAUUAGUGUGCGAUGGAAGGACGCUUAGGGCUAAGGGGGCUAGCGGAUGGAAGUGCUAGUCUAAGGUCGUAGGAGGUUAUACAGGAAAAUCCGUAUAACAAUACUCCGAGAACUGAAAGGCUUUUUGAAGUCUUCGGAUGGAUAGAAGAACCCCUGAUGCCGUCGAGCCAAGAAAAGUUUCUAAGUUUAGCUAAUGUUGCCCGUACCGUAAACCGACACAGGUGGGUGGGAUGAGUAUUCUAAGGCGCGUGGAAGAACUCUCUUUAAGGAACUCUGCAAAAUAGCACCGUA
Molecule: ribosomal RNA, 1713 nt
Filed under: Campylobacter jejuni
Lineage: Bacteria; Pseudomonadati; Campylobacterota; Epsilonproteobacteria; Campylobacterales; Campylobacteraceae
Description: partial 23S ribosomal RNA
Rfam family: Bacterial large subunit ribosomal RNA
Source: RNAcentral